GACAGAGGUGCCGAGCGUUAGGCGGAAUCACUGGGCUUAAAGCGUGUGUAGGUGGAUGCCUAAGUACCUUGUGAAAUCCCACGGCUUAACCGUGGAACUGCUUGGUAUACUGGGUGUCUUGAGCCAGCUAGGGGCUACCGGAACAAAUGGUGGAGCGGUGAAAUGCGUAGAUAUCAGGAGGAACACCGGUGGCGAAGGCGGCUCACUGGCCCGGUACUGACGCUGAGGUGCGAAAGCGUGGGGAGCAAACAGG
Molecule: ribosomal RNA, 253 nt
Filed under: uncultured bacterium
Lineage: Bacteria
Description: partial 16S ribosomal RNA
Rfam family: Bacterial small subunit ribosomal RNA
Source: RNAcentral